This 468-nucleotide ribosomal RNA is filed under the name uncultured bacterium. RNAcentral describes it as "partial 16S ribosomal RNA". It matches the Rfam family "Bacterial small subunit ribosomal RNA", at positions 28 to 507 of the family's 1533-position model. The record is from RNAcentral.
GACGAACGCUGGCGGCGUGCUUAACACAUGCAAGUAGAACGGAAAGGCCCUGCUUUUGUGGGGUGCUCGAGUGGCGAACGGGUGAGUAACACGUGAGUAACCUGCCCUUGACUUUGGGAUAACUUCAGGAAACUGUGGCUAAUACCGGAUAGGAGCACCUGCUGCAUGGUGUGUGUUGGAAAGUUUCGGCGGUUGGGGAUGGACUCGCGGCUUCUCAGCUUGUUGGUGGGGUAGUGGCUUACCAAGGCUUUGACGGGUAGCCGGCCUGAGAGGGUGACCGGGCACAUUGGGACUGAGAUACGGCCCAGACGGCUACGGGAGGCAGCGGUGGGGAAUAUUGCACAAUGGGCGGAAGCCUGAUGCAGCAACGCCGCGUGCGGGAUGACUGCCGUCGGGGUGGAAACCGCUUUCGCCUGUGACGAAGCGUGAGUGACGGUAAUGUGUAAAGAAGCACCGGCUAACUACGUG